CCGAGUUUAGCAAAAUUUUCAACAAAAGCAGAAUUUUGAAAUGCCCUCUGUCCUCUCUCCUCUGACUCAGCACACAACAGACUCUCUUACUCUCUUUCUUCCAUUCUUCCAUCCUCUUGAAACGCUCUCUCUCCCAAUCGAAAGACCUCCUACAAUCCUAUCGAUCCCGCUCUCUCCAAAUUCAUCUCCUCAGUGGCUCAGCCUCAGUCCUUCCUAGUUCCUCCUCAUUUCAUCGACUUUGAUUUUUGUGAUUUCUGACCCGAUCGAUUUCAUCAGCUUCUGAGAAUUUGAAAUUUUAACAUAUGAGGUCAGUGGAGGUUUAUUGGCAGUCUCCUGUGCAAUAGCUAGAUUUCAAAAAGCACAUAGCAGUAAUAAUCCUUUAGAUGGUAAUGAUUUUGAUGAUUGUUUUAGGAAUGAUGAGGGAGAUAAAGGCAAUGAGGGUGUGUUUAGUUUACAUGACACACCUACAGAUUGUUUGUUUUAGAUUUGUUAACUUUUAGUUAUUAAAAUUCUAUGGACAUGUAUGAAUUUUUAUUUGAAUUAUGUAUUUUAAGAUGUUUGGAUAUUUGUAUUGUUUAUUUUACUUUUAUUUGAAUUAUGUAUUUUAAUGUA
Molecule: long non-coding RNA, 612 nt
Organism: Populus nigra (black poplar)
Lineage: Eukaryota; Viridiplantae; Streptophyta; Magnoliopsida; Malpighiales; Salicaceae
Exons: 2
Source: RefSeq, a predicted model, not a curated record